UACGUAGGGGGCUAGCGUUGUCCGGAAUCAUUGGGCGUAAAGCGCGUGUAGGCGGUCCGGUAAGUCCGCUGUGAAAGUCGGGGGCUCAACCCUCGGAUGCCGGUGGAUACUGUCGGGCUUGAGUACGGAAGAGGCGAGUGGAAUUCCUGGUGUAGCGGUGAAAUGCGCAGAUAUCAGGAGGAACACCAAUUGCGAAGGCAGCUCGCUGGGCCGUUACUGACGCUGAGGAGCGAAAGUGUGGGGAGCGAACAGG
This 253-nucleotide ribosomal RNA is filed under the name uncultured bacterium. RNAcentral describes it as "partial 16S ribosomal RNA". It matches the Rfam family "Bacterial small subunit ribosomal RNA", at positions 524 to 776 of the family's 1533-position model. The record is from RNAcentral.